GCCACCUUAGCUCAGUUGGUAGAGCAGUCCCUUCGUAAGGGAAAGAUCCUCGGUUCGACCCCGAGAGGUGGCUCAA
Molecule: transfer RNA, 76 nt
Filed under: Candidatus Woesebacteria bacterium RIFOXYA1_FULL_31_71
Lineage: Bacteria; Candidatus Woeseibacteriota
Also listed under: 3 other names
Description: tRNA-Thr
Rfam family: tRNA
About the family: Transfer RNA (tRNA) molecules are approximately 80 nucleotides in length.
Source: RNAcentral